Molecule: ribosomal RNA, 414 nt
Filed under: uncultured microorganism
Description: bacterial SSU rRNA
Rfam family: Archaeal small subunit ribosomal RNA
Source: RNAcentral
CAGCCGCCGCGGUAAUACCGGCGGCCCGAGUGGCGGUCACUAUUAUUGGGCUUAAAACGUCCGUAGCCGGGUUGGGAAGUCCUCCGGGAAAUCUGGCCGCUUAACGGUCAGAAUGCCGGAGGAUACUCCCAGCCUAGGGAGCGGGAGAGGCCGAGGGGAUUCCCGGGGUAGGGGUGAAAUCCUAUAAUCCCGGGAGGACCACCUGUGGCGAAGGCGCUCGGCUGGAACGCGUCCGACGGGGAGGGACGAAGGCCAGGGGAGCAAACCGGAUUAGAUACCCGGGUAGUCCUGGCUGUAAACGAUGCGGACUUUGUGUCGGACAAGCUAUGAGCUUGUCCGGUGCCGGAGGGAAACCGUUAAGUCCGCCGCCUGGGGAGUACGGCCGCAAGGCUGAAACUUAAAGGAAUUGGCGGG